CAAUAGCGUAUAUUAAAGUUGUUGUGGUUAAAAAGCUCGUAGUUGAACCUUGGGCCUGGCCGUCCGGUCCGCCUCACCGCGUGUACUGGCUCGGCCGGGCCUCUCCCUCUGUGGAACCCCAUGCCCUUCACUGGGCGUGGCGGGGAAACAGGACUUUUACUGUGAAAAAAUUAGAGUGCUCCAGGCAGGCCUAUGCUCGAAUACAUUAGCAUGGAAUAAUAGAAUAGGACGUGUGGUUCUAUUUUGUUGGUUUCUAGGACCGCCGUAAUGAUUAAUAGGGACAGUCGGGGGCAUCAGUAUUCAAUUGUCAGAGGUGAAAUUCUUGGAUUUAUUGAAGACUAACUACUGCGAAAGCAUUUGCCAAGGAUGUUUUCAUUAA
RNAcentral lists this ribosomal RNA (379 nucleotides) under uncultured eukaryote. RNAcentral describes it as "partial 18S ribosomal RNA". It matches the Rfam family "Eukaryotic small subunit ribosomal RNA", at positions 592 to 976 of the family's 1831-position model. The record is from RNAcentral.